Molecule: non-coding RNA, 249 nt
Filed under: Halanaerobium praevalens
Lineage: Bacteria; Bacillati; Bacillota; Clostridia; Halanaerobiales; Halanaerobiaceae
Description: T-box sequence
Rfam family: T-box leader
About the family: Uncharged tRNA acts as the effector for transcription antitermination of genes in the T-box leader family. T-boxes are found upstream of many aminoacyl-tRNA synthetase genes and some amino acid biosynthetic genes usually in Gram-positive bacteria.
Source: RNAcentral
UUAAAAACUGAGAAGAGAAGUAGUAAUUUCUGCUAAGCUGAAAGAGAACAGAAUCCAAAGGCUGUAAGAUUCUGGCAGUUAAAAGAAAUGAAGUCAUCUCUGAGUUUUACUGACUAAGCUUAAAUUUAAUUUUUUUAAUAAUUUUUGUUAAUCAGUAACGGCACAAAAGUCGUUAAAAAAUGAGAGCUUUCUGUCUCAACAGGAAGAACUAAGGUGGUACCGCGAUUUUAAUGCUCUUUCGUCCUUAAU